AGCUUUGCGCAGUGGCAGUAUCGUAGCCAAUGAGGUUUAUCCGAGGCGCGAUUAUUGCUAAUUGAAAAAUAACUGAUAACUC
RNAcentral lists this small nuclear RNA (82 nucleotides) under Tupaia belangeri (northern tree shrew). Its description in RNAcentral is "U4 spliceosomal RNA (ENSTBEG00000020612.1)". It matches the Rfam family "U4 spliceosomal RNA", at positions 1 to 83 of the family's 138-position model. Rfam says of the family: U4 small nuclear RNA (U4 snRNA) is a component of the major U2-dependent spliceosome. The structure of U4 snRNA from yeast and human has been reported. Lineage: Eukaryota; Metazoa; Chordata; Mammalia; Scandentia; Tupaiidae. The record is from RNAcentral.